Molecule: ribosomal RNA, 429 nt
Filed under: Chloroflexota bacterium
Lineage: Bacteria; Bacillati; Chloroflexota
Description: Chloroflexi bacterium partial 16S ribosomal RNA
Rfam family: Bacterial small subunit ribosomal RNA
Source: RNAcentral
UGGGGAAUAUUGCACAAUGGGCGCAAGCCUGAUGCAGCCAUGCCGCGUGUAUGAAGAAGGCCUUCGGGUUGUAAAGUACUUUCAGUCGGGAGGAAGGUGUCAAGGUUAAUAACCUUGGCAAUUGACGUUACCGACAGAAGAAGCACCGGCUAACUCCGUGCCAGCAGCCGCGGUAAUACGGAGGGUGCAAGCGUUAAUCGGAAUUACUGGGCGUAAAGCGCACGCAGGCGGUUGAUUGAGUCAGAUGUGAAAUCCCCGGGCUCAACCUGGGAACUGCAUCUGAUACUGGCAAGCUUGAGUCUCGUAGAGGGGGGUAGAAUUCCAUGUGUAGCGGUGAAAUGCGUAGAGAUGUGGAGGAAUACCGGUGGCGAAGGCGGCCCCCUGGACAAAGACUGACGCUCAGGUGCGAAAGCGUGGGGAGCAAACAGG